CUCAAAGUCAGCUGGGGCUGGGUCCAGACGCAGUAAAAGUCUAUGGAAGACCAUUAAUUCAAGAUUGGCUCUGCAGCACUUUGUGAAGGUGUCGUGUUGUCUGGCAUCUUAACUCAGUGGGACAUCCUAAUCUCAUACCAAUGGACCCAUUUGCAUCAUGAAAGGAAUGGACAUGCACGGUGGAGAACAAGAUAAAUGUUUACUGGAUGAAGAAUCCUGCAAGACCAAGGGUUUAGCUCUGGAUGUUGCUAAUUGAAUACAUGUAAUUAUGUGAAUGCCAAUUUCUUUGUUUUCAUUGUUUUAGCCAAGGUGAGGUGAUCCUAUUAUAAAUACAAUGGGGGUUUGGAAUCGGUCUGUCUGGGUGGUAUAAGUAGGAAAGCUUGACUUGGUUCUUGGAGUCUAUAUUUAACAGAAGCUCCUAGAACAGCUUUGUGCUAUAGUGUCUUAAAUACUUGUGGUAUACUAUGGUAUAUUAGUAGACUGUAAGGCUAGAUGGG
Long non-coding RNA from Esox lucius (northern pike), 497 nucleotides. RefSeq lists it as uncharacterized. The transcript has 3 exons. The record is from RefSeq and is a predicted model, not a curated record. Lineage: Eukaryota; Metazoa; Chordata; Actinopteri; Esociformes; Esocidae.